AGAGUAAUGAUCCUGUGAGAUCCUUCCACACCCAUGUGUGUAGGAUUCCAAAUGAUCACCAUUAAAUUUGGUACAAAUUUUCAUAAAAGUUAUCACAUGGGUGUGGGACUUGACUUUUUUUAGAGAUUUGUGUCAAAUUUAAUGGAUAUCUUUUGGGAUCUUACACACAUGGGUGUGGGAGGGUUUCAUAGGAUCAUUACUCU
Molecule: microRNA precursor, 203 nt
Filed under: Amborella trichopoda
Lineage: Eukaryota; Viridiplantae; Streptophyta; Magnoliopsida; Amborellales; Amborellaceae
Description: miR8565g stem-loop (atr-MIR8565g)
Rfam family: MIR8565 microRNA precursor family (bases 25-179)
Source: miRBase by way of RNAcentral